GACGAACGCUGGCGGCGUGCUUAACACAUGCAAGUCGAACGGAAAGGCCUGCUUUCGCUUGUGGGUUGGGGGUACGCGAGUGGCGAACGGGUGAGUAACACGUGCGUGAUCUGCCCCCAACUUGGGUAUAAGCCUGGGAAACUGGGUCUAAUUACCGAUAGGACUGCAGGGUGGUGCCGGUGGUGGGAAUCGAUUUUCUAGUGGUUGGGGAUGAGCUUGCGGCGUAGCAGCUUGUUGGUGGGGUAAUGGCCGACAACGGCGGCGACGGGUAGCCGGCCGGGGAGGGUGAGCGGGCACAUGGGGACGGGCGCACGGCCCGGACUGGUGCGGCAGUCAGGAGUCGUGAGUAAUGCACGAGGGGCGGAAGGCGGAUGGAGCGACGACGCGUGAGGGAUCACGGCCUUCGGGGCGUUGACGUCUUUCGAGCGCGAGGAAGCCACCUGGUUGGACGGAUUGUGACGGUAGUGGUAGAAGAAGCACCGGCUAACUACGUG
RNAcentral lists this ribosomal RNA (494 nucleotides) under uncultured bacterium. RNAcentral's name for it is "partial 16S ribosomal RNA". It matches the Rfam family "Bacterial small subunit ribosomal RNA", at positions 28 to 507 of the family's 1533-position model. The record is from RNAcentral.